RNAcentral lists this ribosomal RNA (519 nucleotides) under uncultured bacterium. RNAcentral describes it as "bacterial SSU rRNA". It matches the Rfam family "Bacterial small subunit ribosomal RNA", at positions 285 to 796 of the family's 1533-position model. The record is from RNAcentral.
AGCUGGUCUGAGAGGACGACCAGCCACACUGGGAUUGAGACACGGCCCAGACUCCUACGGGAGGCAGCAGUGGGGAAUAUUGGACAAUGGGGGAAACCCUGAUCCAGCGACGCCGCGUGUGUGAAGAAGGCCUGCGGGUUGUAAAGCACUUUUAGUGGGGACAAAAAGCUCAGGGCUAACACCUCUGGGUCUUGAUUUAACCCAAAGAAAAAGCACCGGCUAACUCUGUGCCAGCAGCCGCGGUAAUACAGAGGGUGCGAGCGUUAAUCGGAAUUACUGGGCGUAAAGCGUGCGUAGACGGUUAUGUAAGUCGGAUGUGAAAGCCCCGGGCUCAACCUGGGAAUUGCAUUCGAAACUGCAUGGCUAGGGUGCGGAAGAGGGAAGCGGAAUUUCUGGUGUAGCGGUGAAAUGCGUAGAUAUCAGAAGGAACAUCAGUGGCGAAAGCGGCUUCCUGGUCCGACUCACACGAUCGAGCACGACAGCCAGAUGAUCAAACAGGCUUAGAUACCUCAGCAGUCC